AUGAACUGCGCCGGCGCCUGCAGACGUGGACGAGAACCGGCAGCGAGUCGCAGUGGCUCGCUCAGGCAUCAGCGUGAGUGUGCACCGUCGGGGAGCUUCGGUUGCUCGCACAGGCGUGGGCAAGCUAGGGCGGAGAGGUGCGGUGCCUUGCGCUGGCAGCGGUUAGGCGUCGAAGACGAGCAACCCAUGACGACAAGAGCGAGAUGCCUAGAAAAUGGAAAAGAAAAAGGGAAAGUAAUGGAAAAAGGAGAAAUUGCAUGGUAA
This 264-nucleotide ribosomal RNA is filed under the name Triticum aestivum (bread wheat). RNAcentral's name for it is "partial small subunit ribosomal RNA". Lineage: Eukaryota; Viridiplantae; Streptophyta; Magnoliopsida; Poales; Poaceae. The record is from RNAcentral.